UACGUAGGUGACCAGCGUUGUCCGGAUUUACUGGGCGUAAAGAGCGCGCAGGCGGUCGUUCAAGUCGAGUGUGAAAGCCCCCGGCUCAACUGGGGAGGGUCACUCGAUACUGAUCGACUUGAAGGCAGGAGAGGGAAGCGGAAUUUCCGGUGUAGCGGUGAAAUGCGUAGAUAUCGGAAGGAACACCAGUGGCGAAAGCGGCUUCCUGGUCCAGCACCGACGUUCAGGCACGAAAGCGUGGGGAGCAAACAGG
Molecule: ribosomal RNA, 253 nt
Filed under: uncultured bacterium
Lineage: Bacteria
Description: partial 16S ribosomal RNA
Rfam family: Bacterial small subunit ribosomal RNA
Source: RNAcentral